UACGUAGGGGACGAGCGUUGUCCGGAUUUACUGGGCGUAAAGGGAGCGUAGGCGGACUUUUAAGUGAGAUGUGAAAUACCCGGGCUCAACUUGGGUGCUGCAUUUCAAACUGGAAGUCUAGAGUGCAGGAGAGGAGAAUGGGAUUCCUAGUGUAGCGGUGAAAUGCGUAGAGAUUAGGAAGAACACCAGUGGCGAAGGCGAUUCUCUGGACUGUAACUGACGCUGAGGCUCGAAAGCGUGGGGAGCAAACAGGAUUAGAUACCCCCGUAGU
RNAcentral lists this ribosomal RNA (271 nucleotides) under uncultured prokaryote. RNAcentral describes it as "partial 16S ribosomal RNA". It matches the Rfam family "Bacterial small subunit ribosomal RNA", at positions 524 to 794 of the family's 1533-position model. The record is from RNAcentral.